Molecule: long non-coding RNA, 415 nt
Filed under: Vigna radiata
Lineage: Eukaryota; Viridiplantae; Streptophyta; Magnoliopsida; Fabales; Fabaceae
Description: long non-coding RNA (VRAD_LNC001863)
Source: RNAcentral
GUGAACAUAAUGAAAGUGUCAUUCGAAAUGAAGCAACAAUGAAUUCACAGGAACACAUAAUUCAAGGGAGAGAAAGAAGAAAGCCAAGCUGGAUGGAAGACUUUGUUACUGGAGAAGGAUUAAGUGAAGAAGAUGAAGCUGAGAUAGCCUAUAUAAUACAAGAUGUCACAAGUGAAGAUCCAAUUUUAUUUGAGGAAGCUCUUAAAAAAGAAAAUAUACUCGCUUUCACAAAUUAUGAUUAUGAGGAAGAUGGGAAUGGUUGAUUUAUUGAAAUAAACUGACAUGCUGGAAGUCAGUUUAAGAGAGGCAAUGAAGAGAUAUUUUAUUCUGCAUAAUAAUGCCUCAUUUGUAGGCACUUUAUGCUACUGCAUAAAUAAUGCCUACUUUCUAGGCACUUUUAUUUUUUAGUUGUUAU